GUUGAAUCCGAUGUUCCAGCGCAUGGUCCCCUGCUGUGCACACACAAUUGGGCGAUCCAAGUGCAAGUACUCGCAUGCCAAUGGAAGGCAGACUGCGUGCACGAUGACACACAACCCGCUCUAUUUCCUUCCUGCUGUUUUCCUUCACAAGGAAAGAUAACUAUGGAAUCAACAUUAAACUUCAGAGAAUAAGAUAAAGCUGAAUUAGAUAUCCAUACGGAAAACACCCAGAACUGAGAAAUGACAUAGGAAUUGAGAGCUGAAUUAGAGAGAGCACAUAGCCAUGUGAGAGAUGACAUAGGAAUUGAGAAAAUAUAAUCGGACCAAAUCUAGCAUAUUCUUCUGAACAUAUCCUAAAGUAAUUUAGAAAAUGUGUCUUCAUAUUUUCACUACGAAAACGCAAAUAAAUCAAAAGAAACUGAAGGUAAACGAAAAUUGGCUUGAUCAGGAGCUGCACUACUGACCAUUAAAUAAGCAGCAGUGCAACACUCUCCAUCAGCCAACCACCUACUGGGCAUCCACAAUUUUGAUUUAAAAUGAGAUAAUAGGUGAGAAC
Molecule: long non-coding RNA, 556 nt
Filed under: Triticum aestivum (bread wheat)
Lineage: Eukaryota; Viridiplantae; Streptophyta; Magnoliopsida; Poales; Poaceae
Description: long non-coding RNA (TAES_LNC008961)
Source: RNAcentral